This 508-nucleotide ribosomal RNA is filed under the name Celeribacter sp. RNAcentral describes it as "bacterial SSU rRNA". It matches the Rfam family "Bacterial small subunit ribosomal RNA", at positions 156 to 699 of the family's 1533-position model. Lineage: Bacteria; Pseudomonadati; Pseudomonadota; Alphaproteobacteria; Rhodobacterales; Roseobacteraceae. The record is from RNAcentral.
ACUGGGUUUAAUACCGUAUACGCCCUUCGGGGGAAAGAAUUUCGGUGAGGGAUCGGCCCGCGUUAGAUUAGUUAGUUGGUGGGGUAAUGGCCUACCAAGACUACGAUCUAUAGCUGGUUUGAGAGGAUGAUCAGCAACACUGGGACUGAGACACGGCCCAGACUCCUACGGGAGGCAGCAGUGGGGAAUCUUAGACAAUGGGGGCAACCCUGAUCUAGCGAUGCCGCGUGAGUGAUGAAGGCCUUAGGGUCGUAAAGCUCUUUCGCCUGUGAUGAUAAUGACAGUAGCAGGUAAAGAAACCCCGGCUAACUCCGUGCCAGCAGCCGCGGUAAUACGGAGGGGGUUAGCGUUGUUCGGAAUUACUGGGCGUAAAGCGCACGUAGGCGGAUUAGUCAGUCAGAGGUGAAAUCCNAGGGCUCAACCCUGGAACUGCCUUUGAUACUGCUAGUCUUGAGUUCGAGAGAGGUAAGUGGAAUUCCGAGUGUAGAGGUGAAAUUCGUAGAUAUUC